GAGAGCAGCAGGAGCAGAAGAAACAAAAAGGUUGCCUAUACCAUCUCCUCAUGGCGUUCUGCAAGAGCAGCACCAUUGUUUUGUGCGUUCUAGCGCUCAUGGUCAUGGCGCCCACUGUGUUCUCCGCUGAGUACUGCGCCAGUCUUCCGAACUGCAGCCAGCCGGAGUGCUUCAACCAGUGCACGCACGAGGAUGUACCAUCGUCCAAGGCCUAUUGCCGGCAGCCAGACCAAUGCUGCUGUCCCCCAGCAGCAAAAUCUUAGGAGAUGACACGACUACCUCGCUAGCUGCUGCUGCUGGUCUGUCAGAAUAUAAAUCAGAAUAUGUCUGCGAAAUGAUGGAAUUUGUAAUGAGUAAACGUUUUCUUAGAUGAUGCACAAUAAAAAAAUUGAUCGUUGCAUGAGUUAAGCAUA
Long non-coding RNA from Lolium perenne, 413 nucleotides. RefSeq lists it as uncharacterized. Lineage: Eukaryota; Viridiplantae; Streptophyta; Magnoliopsida; Poales; Poaceae. The record is from RefSeq and is a predicted model, not a curated record.